This 870-nucleotide ribosomal RNA is filed under the name Salmonella enterica. RNAcentral describes it as "partial 23S ribosomal RNA". It matches the Rfam family "Bacterial large subunit ribosomal RNA", at positions 2061 to 2925 of the family's 2925-position model. The record is from RNAcentral. Lineage: Bacteria; Pseudomonadati; Pseudomonadota; Gammaproteobacteria; Enterobacterales; Enterobacteriaceae.
GCAGUGUACCCGCGGCAAGACGGAAAGACCCCGUGAACCUUUACUAUAGCUUGACACUGAACAUUGAGCCUUGAUGUGUAGGAUAGGUGGGAGGCUUUGAAGCGUGGACGCCAGUCUGCGUGGAGCCGACCUUGAAAUACCACCCUUUAAUGUUUGAUGUUCUAACGUGGACCCGUUACCCGGGUUGCGGACAGUGUCUGGUGGGUAGUUUGACUGGGGCGGUCUCCUCCUAAAGAGUAACGGAGGAGCACGAAGGUUGGCUAAUCCUGGUCGGACAUCAGGAGGUUAGUGCAAUGGCAUAAGCCAGCUUGACUGCGAGCGUGACGGCGCGAGCAGGUGCGAAAGCAGGUCAUAGUGAUCCGGUGGUUCUGAAUGGAAGGGCCAUCGCUCAACGGAUAAAAGGUACUCCGGGGAUAACAGGCUGAUACCGCCCAAGAGUUCAUAUCGACGGCGGUGUUUGGCACCUCGAUGUCGGCUCAUCACAUCCUGGGGCUGAAGUAGGUCCCAAGGGUAUGGCUGUUCGCCAUUUAAAGUGGUACGCGAGCUGGGUUUAGAACGUCGUGAGACAGUUCGGUCCCUAUCUGCCGUGGGCGCUGGAGAACUGAGGGGGGCUGCUCCUAGUACGAGAGGACCGGAGUGGACGCAUCACUGGUGUUCGGGUUGUCAUGCCAAUGGCACUGCCCGGUAGCUAAAUGCGGAAGAGAUAAGUGCUGAAAGCAUCUAAGCACGAAACUUGCCCCGAGAUGAGUUCUCCCUGAGACUUAGAGUCUCCUGAAGGAACGUUGAAGACGACGACGUUGAUAGGCCGGGUGUGUAAGCGCAGCGAUGCGUUGAGCUAACCGGUACUAAUGAACCGUGAGGCUUAACCUU